AUGGCGAUCGUUUACGUGCUUCUGGUGGCGCUGAUCACCGCGGCGUCCCAUGCGCCGCACGGCGCGCACGGCCAGACGUGGCACGGCGACCUCGCGGCGCUCGCCGCCGCCGGCAAGCUCCGCAGCGACCCCAACGCCACCCUGGCGGCCUCCACGGACUUCGGCAACAUCACGGCGGCGCUCCCGGCGGCCGUGCUGUUCCCGUCGUCCCCGGCGGACGUGGCUGCGCUCCUCCGCGCCGCGCACACCACCGUGGCGUGGCCGUACACCAUCUCGUUCCGCGGCCGCGGCCACUCCGUGAUGGGGCAGGCCUUGGCCCUCGGCGGCGUGGUCGUCGACAUGCCGUCCCUGGGCGGCCCGUCCUCCGCGGCGCGCAUCAACGUGUCGGCGGACGGCCAGUACGUCGACGCCGGCGGCGAGCAGAUGUGGAUCGACGUGCUGCGGGCGACGCUGGAGCGCGGCGUGGCGCCGCAGUCGUGGACGGACUACCUCCACCUCACCGUCGGCGGCACGCUCUCGAACGCCGGCAUCAGUGGCCAGACCUACCGGCACGGCCCCCAGAUUUCCAACGUCCUGGAGCUGGACGUCAUCACCGGCUACGGCGAGAUGCUGACGUGCUCCAAGUCGCUCAACGCGGACCUGUUCGACGCGGUACUGGGCGGGCUGGGCCAGUUCGGCGUGAUCGUGCGCGCACGGAUCGCGCUCGAGCCGGCGCCGACGCGGGCGCGGUGGGCGCGGCUCGUCUACACCGACUUCGCCACCUUUUCCGCCGACCAGGAGCGGCUCGUCGCGCCCGGGCCCGACGGCGCGUUCGGGCCGAUGAGCUACCUCGAGGGCGCGGUCUACGUGAACCACAGCCUGGCCGCCGGGCUGAAGAACUCGGGCGGGUUCUUCACCGACGCCGACGUCGCCAGGAUCGUCGCCGUCGCCGCGGCGAGGAACGCCACCACCGUGUACGUCAUCGAGGCGACGCUCAACUACGACAACGCCACGGCCGCGUCCGUGGACCAGGAGCUCAGUUCGGUGGUGGCGACGCUGAGGCACGAGGAGGGGCUCGCGUUCGUGCGUGACGCGUCGUACCUGGAGUUCCUGGACCGGGUGCACGGCGAGGAGGUGGCGCUGGACAAGAUCGGGCUGUGGCGCGUCCCGCACCCCUGGCUCAACGUGCUCGUGCCCCGCUCCCGCAUCGCCGACUUCGACAGCGGCGUCUUCAAGGGCAUCCUCCAGGGCACCGACAUCGCCGGGCCCCUCGUCGUCUACCCACUCAACAAAUCCAAGUGGGACGACGGCAUGUCGGCGGUGACGCCGGCGGAGGAGGUGUUCUACGCGGUGUCGCUGCUCUUCUCGUCGGUGGCCAACGACCUGAAGCGGCUGGAGGCGCAGAACCAGAAGAUACUGCGGUUCUGCGACCUCGCCGGGAUAGGGUACAAGGAGUACCUGGCGCACUACACGGCCCACGGCGACUGGGUCCGGCACUUCGGCGGCAAGUGGCAGCGCUUCGUGGAGAUGAAGGACAAGUACGACCCCAAGAGGCUGCUCUCCCCUGGCCAAGACAUCUUCAACCUACUCCUUUGA
Molecule: ribosomal RNA, 1575 nt
Filed under: Triticum aestivum (bread wheat)
Lineage: Eukaryota; Viridiplantae; Streptophyta; Magnoliopsida; Poales; Poaceae
Description: partial small subunit ribosomal RNA
Source: RNAcentral